UUAAGUUAUUAAGGGCGCACGGUGGAUGCCUUGGCACUAGAAGCCGAUGAAGGACGUUACUAACGACGAUAUGCUUUGGGGAGCUGUAAGUAAGCUUUGAUCCAGAGAUUUCCGAAUGGGGAAACCCAGCAUGAGUUAUGUCAUGUUAUCGAUAUGUGAAUACAUAGCAUAUCAGAAGGCACACCCGGAGAACUGAAACAUCUUAGUACCCGGAGGAAGAGAAAGAAAAUUCGAUUCCCUUAGUAGCGGCGAGCGAAACGGGAAGAGCCCAAACCAACAAGCUUGCUUGUUGGGGUUGUAGGACACUCUAUACGGAGUUACAAAGGACGACAUUAGACGAAUCAUCUGGAAAGAUGAAUCAAAGAAGGUAAUAAUCCUGUAGUCGAAAAUGUUGUCUCUCUUGAGUGGAUCCUGAGUACGACGGAGCACGUGAAAUUCCGUCGGAAUCUGGGAGGACCAUCUCCUAAGGCUAAAUACUCUCUAGUGACCGAUAGUGAACCAGUACCGUGAGGGAAAGGUGAAAAGCACCCCGGAAGGGGAGUGAAAUAGAACCUGAAACCGUGUGCUUACAAGUAGUCAGAGCCCGUUAAUGGGUGAUGGCGUGCCUUUUGUAGAAUGAACCGGCGAGUUACGAUUUGAUGCAAGGUUAAGCAGUAAAUGUGGAGCCGUAGCGAAAGCGAGUCUGAAUAGGGCGUUUAGUAUUUGGUCGUAGACCCGAAACCAGGUGAUCUACCCUUGGUCAGGUUGAAGUUCAGGUAACACUGAAUGGAGGACCGAACCGACUUACGUUGAAAAGUGAGCGGAUGAACUGAGGGUAGCGGAGAAAUUCCAAUCGAACCUGGAGAUAGCUGGUUCUCUCCGAAAUAGCUUUAGGGCUAGCCUCAAGUGAUGAUUAUUGGAGGUAGAGCACUGUUUGGACGAGGGGCCCCUCUCGGGUUACCGAAUUCAGACAAACUCCGAAUGCCAAUUAAUUUAACUUGGGAGUCAGAACAUGGGUGAUAAGGUCCGUGUUCGAAAGGGAAACAGCCCAGACCACCAGCUAAGGUCCCAAAAUAUAUGUUAAGUGGAAAAGGAUGUGGCGUUGCCCAGACAACUAGGAUGUUGGCUUAGAAGCAGCCAUCAUUUAAAGAGUGCGUAAUAGCUCACUAGUCGAGUGACACUGCGCCGAAAAUGUACCGGGGCUAAACAUAUUACCGAAGCUGUGGAUUGUCCUUUGGACAAUGGUAGGAGAGCGUUCUAAGGGCGUUGAAGCAUGAUCGUAAGGACAUGUGGAGCGCUUAGAAGUGAGAAUGCCGGUGUGAGUAGCGAAAGACGGGUGAGAAUCCCGUCCACCGAUUGACUAAGGUUUCCAGAGGAAGGCUCGUCCGCUCUGGGUUAGUCGGGUCCUAAGCUGAGGCCGACAGGCGUAGGCGAUGGAUAACAGGUUGAUAUUCCUGUACCACCUAUAAUCGUUUUAAUCGAUGGGGGGACGCAGUAGGAUAGGCGAAGCGUGCGAUUGGAUUGCACGUCUAAGCAGUAAGGCUGAGUAUUAGGCAAAUCCGGUACUCGUUAAGGCUGAGCUGUGAUGGGGAGAAGACAUUGUGUCUUCGAGUCGUUGAUUUCACACUGCCGAGAAAAGCCUCUAGAUAGAAAAUAGGUGCCCGUACCGCAAACCGACACAGGUAGUCAAGAUGAGAAUUCUAAGGUGAGCGAGCGAACUCUCGUUAAGGAACUCGGCAAAAUGACCCCGUAACUUCGGGAGAAGGGGUGCUCUUUAGGGUUAACGCCCAGAAGAGCCGCAGUGAAUAGGCCCAAGCGACUGUUUAUCAAAAACACAGGUCUCUGCUAAACCGUAAGGUGAUGUAUAGGGGCUGACGCCUGCCCGGUGCUGGAAGGUUAAGAGGAGUGGUUAGCUUCUGCGAAGCUACGAAUCGAAGCCCCAGUAAACGGCGGCCGUAACUAUAACGGUCCUAAGGUAGCGAAAUUCCUUGUCGGGUAAGUUCCGACCCGCACGAAAGGCGUAACGAUUUGGGCACUGUCUCAACGAGAGACUCGGUGAAAUCAUAGUACCUGUGAAGAUGCAGGUUACCCGCGACAGGACGGAAAGACCCCGUGGAGCUUUACUGUAGCCUGAUAUUGAAAUUCGGCACAGCUUGUACAGGAUAGGUAGGAGCCUUUGAAAC
RNAcentral lists this ribosomal RNA (2162 nucleotides) under Staphylococcus aureus. RNAcentral's name for it is "bacterial LSU rRNA". It matches the Rfam family "Bacterial large subunit ribosomal RNA", at positions 3 to 2163 of the family's 2925-position model. The record is from RNAcentral. Lineage: Bacteria; Bacillati; Bacillota; Bacilli; Caryophanales; Staphylococcaceae.